UGUUCACCUUGUUCGCGAAUACGCAGA
RNAcentral lists this small RNA (27 nucleotides) under Bombyx mori (domestic silkworm). RNAcentral describes it as "ovarian small RNA-36078". The record is from RNAcentral. Lineage: Eukaryota; Metazoa; Arthropoda; Insecta; Lepidoptera; Bombycidae.